UACGAAGGGUGCAAGCGUCAAUCGGAAUUACUGGGCGUAAAGCGCGCGCAGGCGGCUUGCCAAGUCUGAUGUGAAAUCCCGGGGCUCAACCUCGGAACUGCAUUGGAAACUGGUAGGCUUGAGUAUGUGAGGGGUUAGUGGAAUUCCUGGUGUAGGGGUGAAAUCCGUAGAGAUCAGGAGGAACACCGGUGGCGAAGGCGACUGACUGGAACAUAACUGACGCUGAGGCGCGAAAGCGUGGGUAGCAAACAGG
RNAcentral lists this ribosomal RNA (253 nucleotides) under uncultured bacterium. RNAcentral's name for it is "partial 16S ribosomal RNA". It matches the Rfam family "Bacterial small subunit ribosomal RNA", at positions 524 to 776 of the family's 1533-position model. The record is from RNAcentral.